This 1799-nucleotide unclassified non-coding RNA is filed under the name Octopus sinensis (East Asian common octopus). RNAcentral's name for it is "uncharacterized LOC118767687, transcript variant X2". Lineage: Eukaryota; Metazoa; Mollusca; Cephalopoda; Octopoda; Octopodidae. The record is from RNAcentral.
GGAGAUAACUAGUCCACAACUUGUGGUCACCCGUUACCAUCAACACCGCCGAUUUCCAUUGGGUUUUGUUGUCAAACGUCGCGUACUUCGCGGCAGAAAUUACACCAAUCUACGACUGUAGUCCGACUGUUUAUGAAACACUCAUGCACAUAUGGAACAUAUCGCGUGAUCAUAAAUGAUCAAAACGAUAUUGUACAAUAAAAUAUGGUUUCUUUCGAAGAACGAACUAACUUACUCCUUUUACAGACUCACAUUUUCCCAUCUGUAGCGUCACCACGUGUAGUGAGGCCACAUGGUGAAUUACAAUUUUCACAAGUGUACAUAUUCGUCGACGCCGUGCCAACCACUGAAGAAUAUUGGCUCCUGAUUCGAUUAACUGAGUGAUAUUCCAAGAUUCUUCCAAGAUUGAUUCACGUUUGAGGACAUAUUUCCGUAAUUUGAUUUUCAAGAUGGAUUGUCCAAGAUAUGAAAUGGCCCAAAAUUUAUCGGAAGAGAAUUUCAUACAAUAUCUGAAAGACAAUGGAAUCAUUUCGAAUCAGAAGACAUGUAGUUGUGGAAAGGAAAUGAGCAUAAGGCCUUCUCAGCGUGCCAUAGAUGGGGUGGUAUGGAGAUGCCACAAGUGCAAGAAUGCAGUGUCAAUCCGUACCAAGACUUUCUUGGAGAAGAGUAAGCUUUCUGUGUACAAAAUUUUCAAUCUAAUUUUCGAUUUUAUUUUUGAAAUGCCGGUAACCAGUUCCAUGUCAGCAAACAAUGUCAGUAAAGUCACUGCAAUACAGUGGUAUGAAUAUUGCCGUGAAAUCUGUUUGCAGAAAUUAUUAAGAGAUAAAAAAAAAUUAGGUGGCUCAAAUCAUGUUGUAGAAAUAGAUGAAAGUUUAAUGUUUCAGAGAAAAAAUGAAGCCGGGCGUGUGGUGCAUUCAUACUGGGUUGUUGGUUUCUACGACAACACCCAGAAAAAAGGACAUCUGCAACAUGUUGAAGAUAGAAAGACAGAGACACUGGAGUCACUCAUUAUCAACAACGUAGAACCAGGGUCUAUAGUGUUUACAGACCAGUGGGCUAGUUACCGGAAUCUAGAAAGCCUUGGAUACAUACAUGGAACUGUGGACCCAGAGAGUGGUGUAUGUGGAAAUCAAGUGGAGGGCUACUGGAACCGAAUUAAGAGUAGACUGAAAUACAAAUUCACGUCGAGUGGAGAUAUGCGAUGGUUACACGUCAACGAGGCCAUGUACAGAGACCUUUAUAAUAUGACGUAUGACCGAGCAUGGGAGAAUUACAAGACCUUCCUAAAACACAUAGCAGAAAUUUAUCCACAAUGAUUUUUGAACGGCUAUGUCUCCUGCUCCACUUGACUGCUUCCAGUGUUUUCUGCCUUUCUAUCAACACCAAAAUUAAUUUCUCUUCCAAAGAGAGAGAGUGGCAUUAUCUCUUUCUAUCACAUUUUCAUUAGAAUGUAUCGAGACACUAUGUUGUCACAAAACUGUUCCGUGUGUAUCACUUAGGUUGACGAGGGAAGGAUGACCUCACUUUGCAAAUACCUUAAGGGCACAGUAAGUGUGUCUAAAGCCAGCUGGAGACGAUGUUCUCCUGGGCUACAAGCUACAGUAACACCCACCCUUAGUGGUUAGCCAUAUUGAGAUGGCAAGUAUACCUCACAUUGUUAAAACAUUACUAUCUUGAUUGAUCUGUGACUAAACCUGGAUUUAAUAUAAUUUCAUACAAAAUUUGCUAUCAGUUAUAUAGAUAACUAGCAGUAAUGCCCAUCGUUGAUCAGUCAUUUGACUGCGGCCAUGCUGGAGUAC